UACCUACAUAUAUAUUUUAGACUUUAUUCCUUACGAAUUUACCACUCAAGUCAUCAUCAUUAUCAACUACAGAAUACAGAAUGAUAUCUUUACAAGCCCCGAGAUGAAGCCGAUGAAACUCAUAAAUACAGAGUAAUACAUAUCUUCCUUUACAUACGAAUAAAAGAGACAACUACAGAUUGUACUUGCGAAUGAUGAUUCGACAUUAUUAGCAAUUGAGCCAAAUAAUUAUUUAUAACACUAAUACAAUCAAAAUAAAGUUCAAUUUAGUGUGGUCGGGUCGAGAGAUCGAGUUUAUUAUAUGGAUCACCAAACGGGUCUCACAAGAUCGGGUGUUUUAGUCGUCCGCGACCCGAUUAUUCACGAGAACUACAGAUUUGAGAGUUAUUCUAUUAAAAAUAAAGUUCAAUUUAGCGUGGUCGGGUCGAGUGAUCGAGUUUUUAUAUGAAUCACAAGAUCGGGUGUUUUAGACGUCCGCGACCCGAUUAUUCACGAGAACUACAGAUUUGAGAGUUAUUGUUUUAAAAAUAAAGUUCGAUUUAGCGUGGUCGGGUCGAGUGAUCGAGUUUUUAAUGAAUCACAAGAUCGGGUGUUUUAGACGUCCGCGACCCGAUUAUUCACGAGAUCUACAGAUUUGAGAGUUAUUGUAAUCAAAAUAAAGUUCAAUUUAGUAUGGUAAACAAAAACCUUUCGAUCUUUUAAUCGAGUCUGCGCCCGGGCGGGUCUCCAAACGGGUCACAUAAGAUCGGGUGUUUUUAACGUCCGCGACCCAAUUACUCACGCACAAGUAGUGAUCGGGUGUCGGAGAUUUGAUCAUUCGCGAUCGACACAGGUCUAGAGAAAACUAAAUAACCCAAUGCACUUCAAAUAACGCAGUGAACUGAACGACAUCUUAUCUUUGUUUUUGAAAUUUUGACAGCUUUACUUAACAAACAAAAUAUGGCUCACUGAUUGGCUGUUCAUUUCGACCAAUGACAGAAGAGUUGCGACACUAGCGUUCAGAGCCAAAGUGGAAGCGGGUGGAACUAAAAUCUGUCUCAGGCCUGCCUGCACCUGUGAACUCGUUACUCGAUAUUGACACAAACAAAAAAACACAUCGACAUUUUGUUAAGUGUUUAUCACAGACUAGCCGCCCACUUACAAAAUAAAACCAUAACGUGUACAUACUCUUUGGUAACAGGGAUCGAUUGCAGCGACAAAACGGCACAUGCAAGAACUAAAGUGUCAUACCCCCUGGGGCCUAAUUGUCUAACGGAGUUCAUUGAUCGUAAAGUUCAUACGAUCGGCUACGAUCAACGAUCAAUCGUAACUUUACAUUGGUAUUGUCUAAUUUAGUUCAUUAUAUGAAGACCGGAUGGUGAACGAUGAACUGAAAUCAUUCAUGAAGAUUGCGUAUUGUUUAUGCAAAACGAUAGUGAAACUAUCGUUAAUAAUAUUAUCAAAUUUAAGUCAAACUCCAUAAUAAUGCAUAUAUUUUAACAAAGUUUUAUGUCUUUUAUUUAAAACAUUAAAGAAGCAUUAAAUUUCACGAAAAAUAUCUACUAUUGAAGAAAAUAGCGUGAGAAAAUGGUACAUGCAACUCGAGUAACAAAACGCAAUUAACGAAUUUAACCAAGGGCUAUUUGGACUAUUUGGUAAUCUCCCUGUUGUCUGUGUAGGCUAGUGUCAAAAUAACGGGGUAUCCUAUUAGUCUGUGGUGAAACAUAGCAUAUUAAUAACCUGUGUAUUAGAAAUUUUAAUUUAACAAAACAAAACAAUAUUUUUAUUUUUCAGGUUUUAAAGAGAAUUUAGAAAUUGAGCAAAGUUUUACUAAAUUAUAGUGAUCUUAGGAGCAAAGUUUACUUCGUUUAUGUUAUUGUUAAUCAAAAAUAUAAAAGAAAACUACCUCUAUCUAAUUUUGUCGAUGUCCAUUUCUUAAGAAGUUUCUCAUUAAAACAACCCUUAACUCAGGCAAGGCAGGGCUAAGGUGGUUAGCGUAACUACAAGUGGUUAACUUACAGUUAGCCAACUGAAGAACAAUCAACAAUGCCCGAUUAAUAAGUGAUCGCGCUGCUUGUCUACUACAUGUCCCUGCACUAGUUAUAGCAGUAAUUUCUUUGUUGGGAAGUAUUUAGCACAUCCGGGCUGCGCAAAAGGAGAGGACUAAAUUGAUUAUUAUGAACAGACCAUUAUGAUGAACCACUGAUAUUGACUCAGAGACAUGAAGAUGAGUGCUUUGACAACAAGACUGACUAGCUGAGCCAGCUUAAGAAUUAUGUGGUGUGUGUGUGUCUAAUUCCAGGAGCUCUCUAUGUCAGCCAUCCAUCUAUAUUCUUACUCAUUUUUGUUAAUUAUAAAAUAAAUUUGAUUAUUUAGUGUGUAACUUCAUUGUACCUAUCCUGCUAGCUGUUAGAAAGAUAGCAUCUGUAAUAAUUUAUUUACACUAAAACAUAUUUAAAAAUAAACAUGCUUUAACAUUUAAGUAUGGCCAAUAUGUUGUCAAGUACAGUGGGCAGGGCUGAAUCCAUGAUUGAUGACUGAUCCAUGAUGAUGACUCGUUUUUCUGAUUUAAGAAAAUAUACUCAUCAUCAAAACAGUGUCUGCAAGUACUGUACAGGCUGACUGUUUGGAUGAGAAGUAUAUAUUUGAUUAUUUUUAAGCUUUGUGGUUUCAGGGUUUAAAAAAUGUCUAACUGAAAGUCUAUGAUUACUGUAUUUAUUAUUAUUAUAAUAAAUAAACUUAAAAAAAUCUUUUUUUUAUAAACUUCCAACCCCUAUUUCACCCUCAGAGAUGUCAUUUUCAUAAUUCUUAGAAUACUAGUAGUCAAGAUACUGUAAUAAAAAGAUACAGUUUGUGAGAUUGUAGGGGUUUUGUACCACUUUAGUACUAUUUGGAUACUUAUAUAUUUGGGUUUGAGUAAGGUAUGUCGUGUCCCGGGUAGCGGUUAUGGGUGUUAAAUAAUAGUAGGCUCUACUGAUAAAACACUUGUAUUGACUAUCAGUUACAACGGUUAGGUAACGACUGGCGACAAACCGCCCGUAUUGACUUCGUCAUAAUUACGAAAAUGCUUAAGUAGCAUUUUCAUUUACAAUCUAUGUGUGUGUGACCACCACAUCAUUCCACCCCCUUUUUUUUUUUU
Long non-coding RNA from Bicyclus anynana (squinting bush brown), 3118 nucleotides. RefSeq lists it as uncharacterized. NCBI's taxonomy places the organism in Eukaryota, Metazoa, Arthropoda, Insecta, Lepidoptera, Nymphalidae. The transcript has 2 exons. The record is from RefSeq and is a predicted model, not a curated record.